AUUGAACGCUGGCGGCAGGCCUAACACAUGCAAGUCGAACGGUAACAGAAAGCAGCUUGCUGCUUUGCUGACGAGUGGCGGACGGGUGAGUAAUGUCUGGGAAACUGCCUGAUGGAGGGGGAUAACUACUGGAAACGGUAGCUAAUACCGCAUAACGUCGCAAGACCAAAGAGGGGGACCUUCGGGCCUCUUGCCAUCGGAUGUGCCCAGAUGGGAUUAGCUAGUAGGUGGGGUAAAGGCUCACCUAGGCGACGAUCCCUAGCUGGUCCGAGAGGAUGACCAGCCACACUGGAACUGAGACACGGUCCAGACUCCUACGGGAGGCAGCAGUGGGGAAUAUUGCACAAUGGGCGCAAGCCUGAUGCAGCCAUGCCGCGUGUAUGAAGAAGGCCUUCGGGUUGUAAAGUACUUUCAGCGGGGAGGAAGGGAGUAAAGUUAAUACCUUUGCUCAUUGACGUUACCCGCAGAAGAAGCACCGGCUAACUCCGUG
RNAcentral lists this ribosomal RNA (490 nucleotides) under uncultured bacterium. RNAcentral's name for it is "partial 16S ribosomal RNA". It matches the Rfam family "Bacterial small subunit ribosomal RNA", at positions 30 to 507 of the family's 1533-position model. The record is from RNAcentral.